This 416-nucleotide small RNA is filed under the name Histoplasma ohiense. RNAcentral describes it as "hypothetical lncRNA". The record is from RNAcentral. Lineage: Eukaryota; Fungi; Ascomycota; Eurotiomycetes; Onygenales; Ajellomycetaceae.
GAUAUUUAUGUUUCAUACUUUACUUUUUGGAUUCAACCACCACCUCACUGGCGUUUCCUCUGGCAAAAUUUGAUUUUCUCCCUCCCACGGUGCUGGGUUCCAGCUCGGCACCAAGGCGAAGUUUAAACAGUAGCAGUAUUGACCUGAGGAGGAUCAAAUAUUAGUGGAAAUAUCUCUUAUUUUCACCUUUUUGGUUUUGGGUUUUUUUUUUUUCAUUAUUGAUAGUGACGCAUUCCAAAUUCCAUGCCCAUUUUUCCCUGAAAUGAUUUUUGUGAUAGCUCAACAAAAGAAAGAAGAGAAAAAAAAAAUUCGAGAAGAAGUGAAAAGGAGAGAAGAAACGAACCCUGAUGCGAUUAACUUUCCGUCAAAACUUGAACCAUCGAUGCAUGCCGGUACCAUCAACCGCCCCAACCCUG